GAUGAACGCUGGCGGCGUGCCUAAUACAUGCAAGUCGAGCGAACGGACGAGAAGCUUGCUUCUCUGAUGUUAGCGGCGGACGGGUGAUUAACACGUGGAUAACCUACCUAUAAGACUGGGAUAACUUCGGGAAACCGGAGCUAAUACCGGAUGAUAUUUUGAACCGCAUGGUUCAAAAGUGAAAGACGGUCUUGCUGUCACUUAUAGAUGGAUCCGCGCUGCAUUAGCUAGUUGGUAAGGUAACGGCUUACCAAGGCAACGAUGCAUAGCCGACCUGAGAGGGUGAUCGGCCACACUGGAACUGAGACACGGUCCAGACUCCUACGGGAGGCAGCAGUAGGGAAUCUUCCGCAAUGGGCGAAAGCCUGACGGAGCAACGCCGCGUGAGUGAUGAAGGUCUUCGGAUCGUAAAACUCUGUUAUUAGGGAAGAACAUAUGUGUAAGUAACUGUGCACAUCUUGACGGUACCUAAUCAGAAAGCCACGGCUAACUACGUG
Molecule: ribosomal RNA, 497 nt
Filed under: uncultured bacterium
Lineage: Bacteria
Description: partial 16S ribosomal RNA
Rfam family: Bacterial small subunit ribosomal RNA
Source: RNAcentral